GAUGAACGCUGGCGGCGUGCCUAAUACAUGCAAGUCGAGCGAACAGACGAGGAGCUUGCUCCUCUGACGUUAGCGGCGGACGGGUGAGUAACACGUGGAUAACCUACCUAUAAGACUGGGAUAACUUCGGGAAACCGGAGCUAAUACCGGAUAAUAUAUUGAACCGCAUGGUUCAAUAGUGAAAGACGGUUUUGCUGUCACUUAUAGAUGGAUCCGCGCCGCAUUAGCUAGUUGGUAAGGUAACGGCUUACCAAGGCAACGAUGCGUAGCCGACCUGAGAGGGUGAUCGGCCACACUGGAACGGAGACACGGUCCAGACUCCUACGGGAGGCAGCAGUAGGGAAGCUUCCGCAAUGGGCGAAAGCCUGACGGAGCAACGCCGCGUGAGUGAUGAAGGUCUUCGGAUCGUAAAACUCUGUUAGUAGGGAAGAACAAAUGUGUAAGUAACUAUGCACGUCUUGACGGUACCUAAUCAGAAAGCCACGGCUAACUACGUG
This 497-nucleotide ribosomal RNA is filed under the name uncultured bacterium. Its description in RNAcentral is "partial 16S ribosomal RNA". It matches the Rfam family "Bacterial small subunit ribosomal RNA", at positions 28 to 507 of the family's 1533-position model. The record is from RNAcentral.